GAAAAGAUCCCCGGUGGGAGUGGUAAAUAGAACCUGAAUCCCUACACUUACAAGAUCUAGGAGACAAGUUGUGGUGUGUACGCGUACGUGUACUAGAACAGGCCAACGAGUUACGUUAAGUAGCAAGGUUAAGCUCUUAAGGUGCGGAGCAGUAGAGAAAGCAAGUUUUAACUGAGCGUUCAGUUACUUGACGUAGACCCGAAUCCGGGCGAACUACCCAUGAGCAGGAUGAAGCGAAAAUAAAAUUUCGUGGAGGUCCGAACCCACGAGCGUUGAAAAGCUCGAGGAUGACUUGUGGGUAGCGAGUAAAUUCCAAUCGAGCCCGAAGAUAGCUGGUUCUCCCCGAAAUCGCUUUAGGGCUAGCCUCAAGGUGAGAGAUACAGAGGUAGAGAACUGAAUGUCCUAGGGAGUAUUGCACCUACCGAAGACUAUCAAACUCCGAAUGCCGUCAUCUUAUACUUGGG
Molecule: ribosomal RNA, 464 nt
Filed under: Clostridioides difficile
Lineage: Bacteria; Bacillati; Bacillota; Clostridia; Peptostreptococcales; Peptostreptococcaceae
Description: bacterial LSU rRNA
Rfam family: Bacterial large subunit ribosomal RNA
Source: RNAcentral